UACGUAGGGGGCAAGCGUUGUCCGGAUUUAUUGGGCGUAAAGAGCGCGUAGGCGGUCCGAUAAGUCGGCUGUGAAAGUCAGGGGCUCAACUCUUGAAAGCCGGCCGAUACUGUCGGACUAGAGUCCGGAAGAGGAGAGUGGAAUUCAUGGUGUAGCAGUGAAAUGCGUAGAGAUCAUGAGGAAGACCAGUGGCGAAGGCGGGUGUCUGGACAGUUCCUGACGCUGAGGCGCGAAGGCCAGGGGAGCAAACGGG
RNAcentral lists this ribosomal RNA (253 nucleotides) under uncultured bacterium. RNAcentral describes it as "partial 16S ribosomal RNA". It matches the Rfam family "Bacterial small subunit ribosomal RNA", at positions 524 to 776 of the family's 1533-position model. The record is from RNAcentral.